GGAUGGAGGAGCGGCUCCGAGUGACACCACACGAGUGGCAGGUCACCUUCUCCGCGCACCCCCGAGGAGAUGGUGAGUUACAGCCCUGCGUGCUGUGAGCAGGAAACACAGAUGGCCUCAUGAAGCAGGUUUUCUCCUGAGAAAACUAAGCCCUGUGGGAGCUCUUGGAGAGGAUUUCACAUGAACAAAGAAAAGAGAUCACGGUGAAGUUCUGAUCUGCACAGAUGUGUCUCCUUGCCAGUCUUGUCGUGAUGUUCCAGCUGCAAUGACGAGUGCCUUUCACCUUCUUUUAUACCACCCCAGAAACCACAGAAACAAUAGAAAUGAUCUCUACAGCACUUUGUGACUAAGACCUUUCCUCUCAUGUCAGUGAAAUGAGACAGCUCCCUGUUUCCAGUGAUAACAAAUCUUGGAUUCUAAAAUGUUCUGUUCAGCUGUGACUAAGGAAAAGA
Harpia harpyja (harpy eagle) is the source of this 452-nucleotide long non-coding RNA. RefSeq lists it as uncharacterized. Lineage: Eukaryota; Metazoa; Chordata; Aves; Accipitriformes; Accipitridae. The transcript has 3 exons. The record is from RefSeq and is a predicted model, not a curated record.